UCGCUUGGUCGCGCACGAAAAUGGUGUUUUCUAGACACGGUAGCGAAACGUUCACAUCCCCUUCCUCACACGCUCGCCCACAUCCCUCCCUCUGUGACGCACGCUCGCCCGCAUCGCCGGUGCCGCCUCUCCCCAAGCUUCUCCCUCGCCCUCUCUCGCCCGCGCCGCCCCUCCCCGAGCUUCUCCCUCGUCCGCGUCGUCAGUGCUCUCUCCCUCGCGCGCACCGCCGGCGCUCUACAGUACCAACUCCAUCGUUAAAAAUGCGAUUUUUCCUCCUCCGGCUCUCCAAUCUGCAGUGGCGGUGCUCGAUCUGUGGCGUGGGCUAUCAAGACGGCGCGACGGAGCUGCUGCUGCCGGUUGCCUGCCCGGAGCUGCUGCCGCUGGUCGUCCGCCCGGAUCUGCUGCUUCAGGCGAUGCCCACAUUGCCGUCACCCUCCCGCUCCUCUUCCUCCUCCUCGUCAGUUACUUCACCACCUCAGCAUCAACGACGGGGGUGCUGGGAGGGGGAGGGGCGGAUGGACCCUUCUUCGAGCCGUACAACCAUCGCAGAGCAGAGCAGGAAGCUUGUCUCCGAGAGCACCAGAUUCGCAAGCAUGAUGGAUGGAGGGAUCUCUCAAAUGGUGCGGCUCCUUGUACUACAACGACAGUGACAUGCCGGCCUCCCACACACGCAUAGCAUGCACUGAUUGACACCUCAGUAAUCAAAUGCAGGGGAGUAGCUAGCUUUGCUUGUAUGUGUGUGUACUAAGAUGAGGCAGUUUUCAAAUUAAGUGUCUUCUGAAAGCAACAAAUAUGAUGAUGAUACAGUACAAACUUGUAAGUCACAUCAAACUCUGCUUCUGCAAAAAAAACAACAACUCUACGUCUGUUUUGGAGAAGAAAAAGUGAAGGAGAAAGACUGUGUGUGUGUGGAUGAAAAUCAAGCAAAGACAAAUGAUGUCUAGGCCACUUUAGUGUUCACCACUUGAUCCUCUCCACCUAAUUUGCCUUGCAGAUUAACAGAUGUGGUGCAGAUGUGGUGGAGUAUAUCUUCUGGAAUGGGUAUGAACCGGCCAAAGUUCAGCCACGUCCUUCUUAUCAGUUCUCUUGAACUUGCCUCCUCUACUCUUAUGGAGGGUUUCCAAGGACAUGUAAGCAGCAUAUCUCUGCGCAUCAGUUCUUCGUUGCCUUCUUCAGGUGGAGUGAAAUUGAGAUCUGGGACUACCAUGCUUGAAAUUGGGCCAACGAUUUGCUGCUGUUGAUGUUGAGGACCUGCUUCUUGCUUGCUAUUGAAGAUCUGCUAGUGUUGCUGGUGAGGAGCUGGACCAUCAAGGUGCUGGACGAGGAGCUGGGCCGGCUUUCGGCGAGAAGCCAACAAGUAUCACCGAGCCUGGAGGUUGUAGAGUACGCAGAUCCUGGGCAAGGAGCAGCAAGGUGCUGGGCGAGGAUUUAGGCCGGCUUCCGAUCUAAACUUCUCCUGGCCUUCUCCCCUGGCUCAGGCUAGCUGCACCUUGCCGACGACGCGGGGAUGAAGGGAGGCAGUGCCGGCGAGGUGCGCAGGGGCUGGUGGCCGGCGGCCGGCGAGGUGUGCUCCUGGGUCGGCGGCGACCAGGAAUCUGGGCGGCGAUGAGGAGGAGAUCCUGGGCGGCGAUGAGCGGGAGAUCCUGGGCGGAGAAGUUGGGCGCCAGGUGAGCAGCGAGGAGAUCUUGGGCGCGAGGUGGGCAGCGACGCGUUGGGCGAGGAGAAGCCGGGCACGAGGUGGUCGAUGACGCGCUGGGCGAGGAGAAGCAGGGCGCGAGGUGGGCGACGACGCGCUGGGCGAGGCGAUUUCGAUAUUUUUUGAAUUUCAAAUUGAUCGAUUGAAAGGGGUAUAGUUGUCCAUUACCGAUUUUUUGGGGCUGUCGGAAAUUUUCUUCCGUGCCUUACAAAAGUGAACGGAGGGAGUAAUAAAUUUCAAUUCAUGUGA
Triticum urartu is the source of this 1945-nucleotide non-coding RNA. Lineage: Eukaryota; Viridiplantae; Streptophyta; Magnoliopsida; Poales; Poaceae. The record is from RefSeq and is a predicted model, not a curated record.